RNAcentral lists this ribosomal RNA (253 nucleotides) under uncultured bacterium. Its description in RNAcentral is "partial 16S ribosomal RNA". It matches the Rfam family "Bacterial small subunit ribosomal RNA", at positions 524 to 776 of the family's 1533-position model. The record is from RNAcentral.
UACGUAGGUGGCAAGCGUUGUCCGGAUUUACUGGGCGUAAAGCGUGUGUAGGCGGACCUUUAAGUAGAAAGUGAAAGGUGGGAGCUCAACUCCUACAUUGCUCUCUAUACUGGAGGUCUUGAGUGUCGGAGAGGAAGAUGGAACUGCACGUGUAGCGGUGAAAUGCGUUGAGAUGUGCAGGAACACCAAUGGCGAAGGCAAUCUUCUGGACGAAAACUGACGCUGAGACACGAAAGCCAAGGUAGCAAACAGG